AUGGCGAAGAGCAGGAAGAAGGGGGAGCUGAGGAGGGAGGCGGAUCAAGAGGGAGAGGAGGGUGGAGUGGGAGUGCAUCUGCGAGGGGGAAAGAUCUGGGGGACGAUGACGAGGCCGAGGGGUCGUUGGCGGCCUUAUCCUCCUCCCGCGGCACUGUCGAUGAGGGGGUUCGGCGGCGACCGCGCCCCUGUAGUGAUGCGGUCGCGGGAACAUGGGAGACAACCGGGGAGGGAGAGUUGGGUUGGCUAG
This 249-nucleotide ribosomal RNA is filed under the name Triticum aestivum (bread wheat). Its description in RNAcentral is "partial small subunit ribosomal RNA". Lineage: Eukaryota; Viridiplantae; Streptophyta; Magnoliopsida; Poales; Poaceae. The record is from RNAcentral.